GACUAGCUGAAUCAGCAAAGCAAGUUGCUAAGUGCUAACCACUAGCUGAAUCAGCAAUACAAGCCUUGGAUCUCUCUCCUAAAACUGAGGACUUAUAGAGACUCUUAAGUAUCCCAUUAGCGAUUGUGUUUUUGUCGCUCCAAGCAUAUAAACCGGUGUGAAAGAAAUAACCAACUACUAUUAGCGAUUGCGUUUUUGUAGCUCCAAGCAUAUAAGAAUGUUUGCUUAUUUCCUGCAACUAAUACAUAAUCCAAUUGAUACUUUUAGGUAUGAUCGUAGAACUGUGACCUUGUGGGGUGAGCUAGCUGAAAAAUGGGGAAAUACUACAAAAACUGAUAGAUACAAAACCUGUCGUAGCAUUUUGUGACGUGAAAUCGACGUAUCAAGGUAAUAUAUUUUUUUUUUUUUACAUUCAUAAUUAAUUCUUUAUUAAUUACAUCUAUACUAAACUUUAUUUUGUGUGUUGUGAGGAUAUCUACCACUCAUAUUAAUAGUGUGUUGAUCAACCCAGCAUUUCAAAAAGCAAAUGAGCUGCAAAAUUGGCAAUAUAUGAUAUUAUUUGUUCACCCAAAAUGUUACUACUUACAGUUUAGUUAUAAAAUACUUGAUAAUCCAAUAAAUUUCAUACUUCAUUACAGGCAUCAUUGUUUGAAAGCGCAAAAUAAAGAUAUUACGUUAAUGCUAACUAAGAUGAUUAGAGAAGCCAAAGAAGUGAAGAUCAAAGAUAUCAUAUAUGGCUCAUAUGCAACUAUGAAGGUAAAUUUUGUACAAUAUUUCAGAAUGAUAUACUCUUUUUGGAUGGGUUAUAUCUAAUAAAAUAAAUAUGUAGGAUUUAUAUUGUAGAUUUAAUGCACGAGUAACAACAAUUAUAGACAAAGAUGAGCCAUGGUAUUCUUCUUGCAAGAAAUGCUAUAAGAAAGUCAAUAUUGAAAAUAAAAUUGCAAAUUGUAGCAAUUGUAGGUCAGAAAGCGUUGAUUACGAGGAAAGAUAUCGUUUAAAAAUUGAUGUGUUUGCCAUUGCAAACGACAUAGCAAUGUUACACUUUUUGACGCUGUAAGAUACUUGCUAGGUUGUGAUGUUAACGAAUACAUCCAAUCAAUCUCUAAAAAGAAAGAAGAAUCAGAGUUUUACCAGAAGAUGAUCUUGAGUAAAAAUAAAGAAUUUAUUUUUUUGGUUAAAU
Molecule: long non-coding RNA, 1180 nt
Organism: Lycium ferocissimum
Lineage: Eukaryota; Viridiplantae; Streptophyta; Magnoliopsida; Solanales; Solanaceae
Exons: 3
Source: RefSeq, a predicted model, not a curated record